GACUACAGGCGCCCACCAUCACGCUUGGCUAAUUUUCCAGUUGCUAUGUCAUGAACUGCUCUAUGAAGAAGCCUGUUUGUCAAGGAUCUGAAGCCUCCUGCCAAUAGCUGCAUGAACGAGUUUGGAAGAUCCAGUUCUACCCUUCAGAUGACUGUAGCUUGACGUCAACCUCAUGAGAGACCCUGAGACAGAACCACAAAGCGAAGUCCCUCCUGGAUCCCUGA
RNAcentral lists this long non-coding RNA (224 nucleotides) under Pan troglodytes (chimpanzee). RNAcentral's name for it is "long non-coding RNA NONPTRT013005". The record is from RNAcentral. Lineage: Eukaryota; Metazoa; Chordata; Mammalia; Primates; Hominidae.